Molecule: microRNA precursor, 105 nt
Filed under: Strigamia maritima
Lineage: Eukaryota; Metazoa; Arthropoda; Chilopoda; Geophilomorpha; Linotaeniidae
Description: microRNA mir-252
Rfam family: mir-252 microRNA precursor family (bases 18-91)
Source: RNAcentral
AUGUUUUUCAUCAUCCUAUCCUUUCCUAAGUACUAGAGCCGCAGGAAUCUGAAACCGAGAACUCCUGCAGCCUUGGUACUUAACAAGGGGACGGAUUUUCUACAU